CAGGGGUUAGUCCAACAAAAUAUACCAGUGUCUACAUAAGCAAUUUUUAGUUCAAUAAAAAAAUUAGACUCCAUGUCUAAUCAGAUUAAGGAAGGCUAUUUAAUCUAAGCACCAUGCUUAAUUUAGAUGCCAAUGGAAGUAUGUCGAGUACUUCCAAACCAACACUUACUUAUGAAUAGACAAAGGUAGCAUGACAACAUUAUAGAGAUCUACUCAAGUGGGGACGAAGUAGAAUGAUUAGUGUUUAAUAAAUUGAGCAUGUCUUAAGGGUAGGGACAACCAACAUAGCAACAUGGCAAAGGAUGUUUUUUUGUGUAAGGUAUUCCCCCAGCUUGAACAAGUCAAGUUUGGAUGAAUUUAAUUCAAUGUUGCAUGAUGAUUGGUUGGACAUACCUUGUUGUUAUUCUUCACUCUUUUACUUCAAGCCUGAAUCGCGAAGAUAACGGGAUUGCUUUCCCCGAGCUGAAUGUUGACAUAAUCUUUAAUCUUGAAUCCGCACAACACAGAUGUUCUUCAAUAUUCUUGAGCUUCAAAAUGUCAGUGAUUGCAGCGCUUCCAAGUUGGUGAAGAUAUCUUGAUCAUUGGGGAUUCUCUCUUUAAAUCAUGUUAAACUCAAAUAGACAACAAAACUUGUGGCACCGAUUAAACAUUAGUAGAUGGCCACUUAAGCCUUAGUUGUCCAAGCUUUUUAGAUUUUUCUUAAUUCUUUUUCUAAGCAGAGUUUCAACAAGAUCUCUUUCUUAAUAUAUAUAUAUAUUGGGUUUUAAUCUUUUUAUGAAGCUAAAGGAAAUGGAAUAGGAUGAAUGCAUGUUUAUUUACUUUUAUUUAUUUUUUUUAUUCCACCACGGUGAGUAUCCGUGUGGGCUUUUACACACCACACAAUUUAUUCACACGGGGUUUUAGUAUUUAAGACGCAAUGAGUUAUAUAAAAUAUUUUUAUUAUAUUUUCUAAUGCAAUAAUAAUGUAGAAAGAUAAAUAUGUUAUGG
This 987-nucleotide long non-coding RNA is filed under the name Sorghum bicolor (sorghum). RNAcentral's name for it is "long non-coding RNA (SBIC_LNC003128)". Lineage: Eukaryota; Viridiplantae; Streptophyta; Magnoliopsida; Poales; Poaceae. The record is from RNAcentral.